CACGCGGCGGGCGGGAGCCGGGGCCUGUGAGGCGGCGUCGUAGGAGGCGAAGCGGCGCGGUCGCAGCAGCAGUGGAGGCCGCGGGUUCCGCAGGAGCCGAAAUUGGGGGAGAGUUUAACCAUUUGCGACAAAGACAAGGUGUUUAAGAGCUGAGAACCACAGUUAAUAGGAGACUUUCACAAGGUAUGUAAAUACAGUCUUGUGUCUGGUCAAUUUUCAAAUGUUACAUGUUUGCAAAUAAUAUGUGC
Molecule: long non-coding RNA, 248 nt
Filed under: Gopherus agassizii (Agassiz's desert tortoise)
Lineage: Eukaryota; Metazoa; Chordata; Testudines; Testudinidae
Description: lncRNA (ENSGAGG00000010173.1)
Source: RNAcentral